RNAcentral lists this ribosomal RNA (497 nucleotides) under uncultured bacterium. Its description in RNAcentral is "partial 16S ribosomal RNA". It matches the Rfam family "Bacterial small subunit ribosomal RNA", at positions 28 to 507 of the family's 1533-position model. The record is from RNAcentral.
GAUGAACGCUGGCGGCGUGCCUAAUACAUGCAAGUCGAGCGAACGGACGAGAAGCUUGCUUCUCUGAUGUUAGCGGCGGACGGGUGAGUAACACGUGUAUAACCUACCUAUAAGACUGGUAUAACUUCGGGAAACCGUAUCUAAUACCGGAUAAUAUUUUGAACCGCAUGGUUCAAAAGUGAAAGACGGUCUUUCUGUCUCUUAUAGAUGGUUCUGCGCUGCAUUAGCUAGUUGUUAAGGUAACGGCUUACCAAGGCAACGAUGCAUAGCCGACGUGAGAGGGUGAUCGGCCACACUGGAACUGAGACACGGUCCAGACUCCUACGGGAGGCAGCAGUAGGGAAUCUUCCGCAAUGGGCGAAAGCCUGACGGAGCAACGCCGAGUGAGUGAUGAAGGUCUUCGGAUCGUAAAACUCUGUUAUUAGGGAAGAACAUAUGUGUAAGUAACUGUGCACAUCUUGACGGUACCUAAUCAGAAAGCCACGGCUAACUACGUG